This 261-nucleotide long non-coding RNA is filed under the name Carica papaya (papaya). RNAcentral's name for it is "long non-coding RNA (CPAP_LNC003916)". The record is from RNAcentral. Lineage: Eukaryota; Viridiplantae; Streptophyta; Magnoliopsida; Brassicales; Caricaceae.
CCUACACAUAUAAGAGAGAGUAGAUAUAUACGUGCAUUACAGUGCAGCAUUAGCUUUUAAUUAAAAAAGAUGGUUGGGAUUGAAUGGUUUUAUAAAAGUGCAACCAUGCAACAAUUCACUAAUUAAAUUUAGUAAAUUACAUUACCUUUAAUCAUAAGAUCAUUCCAUAUGUCCUAUUAAAAACAUAACAUUUCUAGAUAUGAUUUGGGCAGUCCAUUUGUAGUUUUAAUCCAACCUUACAUGGUAUAUUCAAUGUUCCAC